UUUUCGCAAUGCCCGAAAGGGUGACGAAGCGACGCCGCGUGGGUGAGGAAGGCCUUCGGGUUGUAAAGCCCUGUCAGGAGUUAAGAAAUGUAAGUGCGCUAAUACCGCAUUUAUUUGACGAAGGCUCCAAAGGAAGUCACGGCUAACUCUGUGCCAGCAGCCGCGGUAAUACAGAGGUGGCAAGCGUUGUUCGGAAUUAUUGGGCGUAAAGAGCACGUAGGUGGGUUUGUAAGUCAGAUGUGAAAGCCUCCUGUUCAACGGGAGAAUUGCAUCUGAAACUACAGAUCUUGAGUGUAGGAGGGGAGAAUGGAACUUCUGGUGGAGCGGUGAAAUGCGUAGAUAUCAGAAGGAACGCCGGCGGCGAAAGCGAUUCUCUGGCCUAUUACUGACACUCAGUGUGCGAAAGCUAGGGUAGCAAACGGGAUUAGAUACCCCGGUAGUCCUAGCCGUAAACGAUGGGCACUAAGUAGAGGGGUUUUA
Molecule: ribosomal RNA, 480 nt
Filed under: uncultured anaerobic ammonium-oxidizing bacterium
Lineage: Bacteria
Description: bacterial SSU rRNA
Rfam family: Bacterial small subunit ribosomal RNA
Source: RNAcentral